Molecule: ribosomal RNA, 746 nt
Filed under: uncultured bacterium
Lineage: Bacteria
Description: bacterial SSU rRNA
Rfam family: Bacterial small subunit ribosomal RNA
Source: RNAcentral
CCUGCCGUCUACUCUUGGCCAGCCUUCUGAAAGGAAGAUUAAUCCAGGAUGGGAUCAUGAGUUCACAUGUCCGCAUGAUUAAAGGUAUUUUCCGGUAGACGAUGGGGAUGCGUUCCAUUAGAUAGUAGGCGGGGUAACGGCCCACCUAGUCAACGAUGGAUAGGGGUUCUGAGAGGAAGGUCCCCCACAUUGGAACUGAGACACGGUCCAAACUCCUACGGGAGGCAGCAGUGAGGAAUAUUGGUCAAUGGGCGAUGGCCUGAACCAGCCAGUAGCGUGAAGGAUGACUGCCCUAUGGGUUGUAAACUUCUUUUAUAAAGGAAUAAAGUCGGGUAUGCAUACCCGUUUGCAUGUACUUUAUGAAUAAGGAUCGGCUAACUCCGUGCCAGCAGCCGCGGUAAUACGGAGGAUCCGAGCGUUAUCCGGAUUUAUUGGGUUUAAAGGGAGCGUAGAUGGAUGUUUAAGUCAGUUGUGAAAGUUUGCGGCUCAACCGUAAAAUUGCAGUUGAUACUGGAUGUCUUGAGUGCAGUUGAGGCAGGCGGAAUUCGUGGUGUAGCGGUGAAAUGCUUAGAUAUCACGAAGAACUCCGAUUGCGAAGGCAGCCUGCUAAGCUGCAACUGACAUUGAGGCUCGAAAGUGUGGGUAUCAAACAGGAUUAGAUACCCUGGUAGUCCACACGGUAAACGAUGAAUACUCGCUGUUUGCGAUAUACGGCAAGCGGCCAAGCGAAAGCGUUAAGUAUUCCA